UAAAAAGAACCCAUGUCUUAUCAACGUUGCAAGCCUUUCCUUCGUCACGUCUCUGGCUUCUUCUUCCCACCUUCACCAUCCAUCUCCAACUUCUGUUGUGUAGCUGCAAUGGAAAGAAAUGUACUCAGUAAGACAAAUAAAAAGUUAAAAUUAAACACUAAAAAGUG
Molecule: long non-coding RNA, 167 nt
Organism: Asparagus officinalis (garden asparagus)
Lineage: Eukaryota; Viridiplantae; Streptophyta; Magnoliopsida; Asparagales; Asparagaceae
Exons: 3
Source: RefSeq, a predicted model, not a curated record